CGGACGGGUGAGUAAUGUCUGGGAAACUGCCCGAUGGAGGGGGAUAACUACUGGAAACGGUAGCUAAUACCGCAUAACGUCGCAAGACCAAAGAGGGGGACCUUCGGGCCUCUUGCCAUCGGAUGUGCCCAGAUGGGAUUAGCUAGUAGGUGGGGUAACGACUCACCUAGGCGACGAUCCCUAGCUGGUCUGAGAGGAUGACCAGCCACACUGGAACUGAGACACGGUCCAG
RNAcentral lists this ribosomal RNA (232 nucleotides) under uncultured bacterium. RNAcentral describes it as "partial 16S ribosomal RNA". It matches the Rfam family "Bacterial small subunit ribosomal RNA", at positions 99 to 334 of the family's 1533-position model. The record is from RNAcentral.